AUUUGACAUCUGGGAAAGUCUCUCUUUACCUCUUGAUUCUCAUGAUGAAUUCAUGUAAUUUCAUGCCCCACAUCUCUAUAUUUAUUCUCUCUUCCAAAAGUAGUCAUUUCUCCUGCUACUAACUACUUAAGUUUGUUAAAAGAAAAACAUUAUACUAAUUAAAUUAAUCCAAGAUGUUUAUAAACAUUUUAAAUACCUUGUUAAAGGAUUAAAUCACAAACUCCUAAAAUUUUAUCUAUUCAUUCAACAGAAUUAUGUUUAUACUUUGGUGAUGUUAUUGCAAUUUUUCAUAGGGAAAGAUUUUUAUAACUCAAAUUAUUACUUUUGAAAACUAUCUGUAGUUAAAUAUCCAUCCUUUUCAUUAUAAAAUUACAGUUGGUUUCACCAAUUCUCCCUAAAGAGUCAUGAAGUAUUGCAUACAAACAGGUGUGAUAAUACCUACUUCAUCAGCUUGUUAUAAGGAUUAAAUGAGAUAAUGUACAUGAAGAUUUAACACAGUUUUGUUACAUAUAAAAUUUUCAUGGAGUUCCUAUUGUGGCUCAGCAGUAAUGAACCCGACUAGUACCCAUGAGAAUGUGGGUUCAAUCCCCGGCUUCAUUCAGUGGUUUAAGGAUCCAGCGUUGCCGUGAACUGCAGUGUAGGUCACAGACGCGGCUCGGAUCCUGCAUUGCUGUGGCUGUGGCAUAGACUGGCAACUGUAGCUCCAAUUAAACCCCUAGCCUGGGAACUUCCACAUGCCGCCUGUGUGGCACUAAAAAGCAAAAGAUAAAAAAUAAAACGUUUUUUCAAUAAAUACUAUCUAUUUUUGUUAUUAAAGGUGAGAAAACCAAGAUUCUCUGACACUUUUUCACUGAAACCCUUUACCUUUUUUAGACAUUUAAAACUUUUACAUAGUCAAUUUUAAACCCCCAAGAUAGUAUAGUAAAAAUGCAUAAUAAAUAUCUUUUAAAACUUAUUUUCAUACUUUUAUGCAAAUGCAAAAGAAAGAGUAAGAAUAACUCUAUUUAACAUAUUACAGUAACAAGGUUUAAUAUUCUCAGGCAAUAGGCCAUGUGUGAGACUGUAAGGUCUUUGCCAAACAGUUCACCAAAGGGGCCCCAGCCUAAUCCUAGCUCAGCUUAAAUGUCCCUACAGAGCCCUAGGGAUGGAUUCCUACCCGGGUUGGAUUCCUACCCAGUCACCCAGAAUCAUGCUUAGCAAACUCCUUGUUGGGAAAACAACUCUGACUCCACAAGAUUCCCAGAGCCCCUUAAAACUGGAUUGGAAGUGGAAAGCUAAAUAACCAUUUAGAAGCUGCUAUUCAUGAGGCCAUGAGUGAACUGGACAAAAUGUCUGGGACUGUUCACCAAAUCCCACAGGGAGACAGACAAAUGAGACCCCCCAAACCCAAGAGGAGGAAGAUCUCCAGAUAACAGGGACUACUCCACCCAUGUGCAGUGUUUAUUAAAGGAGUGUGCACAGAGAGAACUGUCUAUAAGUAUUGAUACAGCCUCUGUUAUAUCAAUAUUUAUAUGAUGGCAGACAGUUACCACCACCACAGGGUGCUAAAAGAAACAGUGAUACAGUAUUUUUUUGAUCAGGAAGGAUAAAGAAUGCUUGAGAACCAAUCAGGAUCCCCUGAAUGAUGAAAGUGAUAAAUGGUCAAGAGAUUACUGAGAAACUCUUUUUUUCUACAGUACUAAAAUUGUGAUUAUAAGAAAUAGUCCAAAUGUUUCUGAAGAAUUUUCAAUGUUGUAUAUAGAAAAUACAGAAUUUCAUGGUGAUAUCAGAAAUGUAAAUAUUGUACAAUAUUGUCAUGUACAAGCGUACCUAAUGCACACUUUAUCUUUUAUUGUACAAAGAAAUAGUGUACAAAAUUCUUUGGUUUCUAUGGAGUACACCUACCAGAGACUACAAGUGUAAAGUGAUAAAUAAAAAUACAACCU
RNAcentral lists this long non-coding RNA (1925 nucleotides) under Sus scrofa (pig). Its description in RNAcentral is "lncRNA (ENSSSCG00055018586.1)". The record is from RNAcentral. Lineage: Eukaryota; Metazoa; Chordata; Mammalia; Artiodactyla; Suidae.